Molecule: ribosomal RNA, 453 nt
Filed under: uncultured bacterium
Lineage: Bacteria
Description: bacterial SSU rRNA
Rfam family: Bacterial small subunit ribosomal RNA
Source: RNAcentral
GACGAACGCUGGCGGCGUGCUUAACACAUGCAAGUCGAGCGGUAAGGCCCUUUCGGGGGUACACGAGCGGCGAACGGGUGAGUAACACGUGGGUGACCUGCCCUCAGCUCUGGGAUAAGCCUGGGAAACCGGGCCUAAUACCGGAUAUGACUCCAUGACGCAUGUUGUGGGGUGGAAAGCCUUGUGCGGCUGAGGAUGGGCCCGCGGCCUAUCAGCUUGUUGGUGGGGUGAUGGCUCACCAAGGCGACGAUCAGUAGCUGGUCUGAGAGGAUGAUCAGCCACAUUGGGACUGAGACACGGCCCAAACUCCUACGGGAGGCAGCAGUGGGGAAUAUUGGACAAUGGGCGAAAGCCUGAUCCAGCCAUGCCGCGUGAGUGAUGAAGGCCUUAGGGUUGUAAAGCUCUUUUACCCGGGAAGAUAAUGACGGUACCGGGAGAAUAAGCCCGGCUAAC